RNAcentral lists this ribosomal RNA (465 nucleotides) under uncultured bacterium. RNAcentral describes it as "partial 16S ribosomal RNA". It matches the Rfam family "Bacterial small subunit ribosomal RNA", at positions 28 to 507 of the family's 1533-position model. The record is from RNAcentral.
GACGAACGCUGGCGGCGUGCUUAACACAUGCAAGUCGAACGGAAAGGCCCUUUUGGGGGUACUCGCGUGGCUAACGGGUGAGUAACUCGUACGUAACCUGCCCUUGCCUUCGUGAUAACUUCAUGAAACUGGGGCUAAUACCUGCUAGGAAUCCUUUCUUCAUGGUGGGGGUUGGAAAGCUUCCGGGGGUUUGGGUGGACUCGCUGGCUAUCCGCUUGUUGGUGGGGUGGUGGCUUACCAAGGCUUUGACGGGUAGCCGGCCUGGCGAGGCGAACGGCCACAAUGGGGCUGAGGAACGGCCCAGAAUCCUACGGGGAGGCAGAGGGGGGGAUAUUGCACCAUGGGCGGGAACCUGGUUGAAGAAAGCCGCGGGCGGGGAGACGGGCUUCGGGUUGUAAACCGCUUUCAGCAGGGGAGAAGCUUGUAGUGACGGUACCUGCAAAAGAAGCACCGGCUAACUACGUG